GAUGAACGCUGGCGGCGUGCCUAAUACAUGCAAGUCGAGCGAACAGAUGAGGAGCUUGCUCCUCUGACGUUAGCGGCGGACGGGUGAGUAACACGUGGAUAACCUACCUAUAAGACUGGGAUAACUUCGGGAAACCGGAGCUAAUACCGGAUAAUAUAUUGAACCGCAUGGUUCAAUAGUGAAAGACGGCUUUGCUGUCACUUAUAGAUGGAUCCGCGCCGCAUUAGCUAGUUGGUAAGGUAACGGCUUACCAAGGCAACGAUGCGUAGCCGACCUGAGAGGGUGAUCGGCCACACUGGAACUGAGACACGGUCCAGACUCCUACGGGAGGCAGCAGUAGGGAAUCUUCCGCAAUGGGCGAAAGCUUGACGGAGCAACGCCGCGUGAGUGAUGAAGGUCUUCGGAUCGUAAAACUCUGUUAUUAGGGAAGAACAAAUGUGUAAGUAACUAUGCACGUCUUGACGGUACCUAAUCAGAAAGCCACGGCUAACUACGUG
Molecule: ribosomal RNA, 497 nt
Filed under: uncultured bacterium
Lineage: Bacteria
Description: partial 16S ribosomal RNA
Rfam family: Bacterial small subunit ribosomal RNA
Source: RNAcentral